Molecule: long non-coding RNA, 215 nt
Filed under: Struthio camelus australis
Lineage: Eukaryota; Metazoa; Chordata; Aves; Struthioniformes; Struthionidae
Description: lncRNA (ENSSCUG00000007036.1)
Source: RNAcentral
UUUUCCUUUUUUUUUUUUUUUAAGAUCUGCCCAGGUUCAAACCUUCCUCUGGCUACAAGUGUGCAUUUGAUUAGCGUUCUGGGAGUGGCUGCAGGGGAAUCUCCAUUUUCACGGCAAUCCAGGAGGUCGGGAUUUACGGAAGAUGCUUUGUGCUGCGAUUUUUGCCCAGAAGGAGGCGGGGGGGCUUGCUGCGCUACGGAGGAGCCUCAGCGCCG